CCUGGAAACAGGUGCACCGCUUGCGGUCGGCUUACAGGUGGUGCAUGGUUGUCGUCAGCUCGUGUCGUGAGAUGUUGGGUUAAGUCCCGCAACGAGCGCAACCCUCGUUCUAUGUUGCCAGCGCGUGAUGGCGGGGACUCAUAGGAGACUGCCGGGGUCAACUCGGAGGAAGGUGGGGACGACGUCAAAUCAUCAUGCCCCUUAUGUCUUGGGCUUCACGCAUGCUACAAUGGCCGGCACAAAGGGUUGCAAUACUGUGAGGUGGAGCUAAUCCCAAAAAGCCGGUCUCAGUUCGGAUUGGGGUCUGCAACUCGACCCCAUGAAGUCGGAGUCGCUAGUAAUCGCAGAUCAGCAACGCUGCGGUGAAUACGUUCCCGGGUCUUGUACACACCGCCCGU
RNAcentral lists this ribosomal RNA (398 nucleotides) under uncultured Arthrobacter sp. RNAcentral describes it as "bacterial SSU rRNA". It matches the Rfam family "Bacterial small subunit ribosomal RNA", at positions 999 to 1397 of the family's 1533-position model. The record is from RNAcentral. Lineage: Bacteria; Bacillati; Actinomycetota; Actinomycetes; Micrococcales; Micrococcaceae.